UACAGAGGUCCCAAGCGUUGUUCGGAUUCAUUGGGCGUAAAGGGUGCGUAGGCGGCGCGGUAAGUCGGGUGUGAAAUCUCGGAGCUUAACUCCGAAACUGCAUUCGAUACUGCCGUGCUUGAGGACUGGAGAGGAGACUGGAAUUUAGGGUGUAGCGGUGAAAUGCGUAGAUAUCGUAAGGAAGACCAGUGGCGAAGGCGGGUCUCUGGACAGACAUUGACGCUGAGGUGCGAAAGCGUGGGGAGCAAACAGG
RNAcentral lists this ribosomal RNA (253 nucleotides) under uncultured bacterium. RNAcentral's name for it is "partial 16S ribosomal RNA". It matches the Rfam family "Bacterial small subunit ribosomal RNA", at positions 524 to 776 of the family's 1533-position model. The record is from RNAcentral.